CGCGGCCUAUCAGCUUGUUGGUGGGGCUUGGCCUACCAAGGCUUCGACGGGUAGCCGGCCUGAGAGGGUGACCGGCCACACUGGGACUGAGACACGGCCCAGACUCCUACGGGAGGCAGCAGUGGGGAAUAUUGGACAAUGGGCGGAAGCCUGAUCCAGCAACGCCGCGUGAGGGAUGACGGCCUUCGGGUUGUAAACCUCUUUCAGCACCGACGAAGCGAUCCGUAUGGUGAGUGACGGUAGGUGCAGAAGAAGGACCGGCCAACUACGUGCCAGCAGCCGCGGUAAUACGUAGGGUCCGAGCGUUGUCCGGAAUUAUUGGGCGUAAAGGGCUCGUAGGCGGUUUGUCGCGUCGGGAGUGAAAACACCGGGCUUAACUCGGUGCUUGCUUCCGAUACGGGCAGACUGGAGGUAUGCAGGGGAGAACGGAAUUCCUGGUGUAGCGGUGAAAUGCGCAGAUAUCAGGAGGAACACCGGUGGCGAAGGCGGUUCUCUGGGCAUUACCUGACGCUGAGGAGCGAAAGUGUGGGGAGCGAACAGGAUUAGAUACCCUGGUAGUCCACACCGUAAACGUUGGGCGCUAGGUGUGGGAUCCAUUCCACGGGUUCCGUGCCGUAGCUAACGCAUUAAGCGCCCCGCCUGGGGAGUACGG
RNAcentral lists this ribosomal RNA (652 nucleotides) under uncultured Actinomycetes bacterium. RNAcentral describes it as "bacterial SSU rRNA". It matches the Rfam family "Bacterial small subunit ribosomal RNA", at positions 232 to 885 of the family's 1533-position model. The record is from RNAcentral. Lineage: Bacteria; Bacillati; Actinomycetota; Actinomycetes.